UGUGAGGUCUGAUUUGUUCACUGUUGUUGCCACAAUGCCUGGAACAGUGUUUGGCACAGAAUAGGUGCUCACCAAAGAGUUUUCCUUGGCUAGAUAAGCCAAAGAACAGAUACUCUGAUGGGUAGGGGAAUGGGUAGAUGGAAAGGUUUUUAGAAAGCUUGGCGAAGGAGGUAAUACAUAUGCUGGAUGUUGAGGAAUAAAGUAUCUACCAAAAGAGGAAGAGGGGAAAAUGUUUUCUGGAAGAAGAAAAUUCACUUGUCAUAUUUACAAUGCAGGGGCAUGAAACAGGAUGGCAAAUUUGAGGAAAAGAAAGAUGGUGGAACGGAGGAGUCUGGGUCAAGUCAAAGGGAAGAGGGUCACCAUAAAGACUUGCAUUUAUAAUCUUAUUGAAGACAGGCAGCAUGCAUACCCUCAGGAUGAAGUCAGUGGAACUGCACAGAGUGCCCCCAUACUUUGGAGUAUCUUCUUUAAAAUGGAACUUGGCCUCCAUUUCUUCCAUCUGGGGCACUCUUAGGCUGUUUACCCCAUGUAUGGAGUCAAACAGAUGCCCCAGGGAGCUCUAGAACAAUGCCUAUGGGGUCAUCCUGGGCCCCCCUGGCCGAGCCCCAGUUCUAGGAGGAUGACCUAGCAAGCAACAGGCUCCCAUUGGCUGGCAUGGGUUUUAUCUCACGGAAUUAUGUGAGAUUGCACCACUAAAAUGCUGCUGCCAGGUGGAGUUUAGGAUGACUAUUACUCAUGCCAGACACACGCUGAGUUUGGGGCUUUGUCUGUUGACAGAUCAUUGUCAAUCCUUGGGUCUGUUGGGUGGGCACCGGUAUUGGCUUUUGCCAUGUUCUGACAGCAGUGCCACCUGCAGGAUAUAACACCCAAGGGCAACUGGAUGGUGGCAGGUGUCCUUUAUCCUGUGUUCCUCUUAGUCUGCUGCUGAUACUCAGGGGGGCUACUCACCUCCUCUGAAGGCUCCAUGGAUAGUGGGAUUGACCAUGCCUAUCUCCUCUGAGGGCUCUACAAUGUCAGAUGGCUUUUUAAUCGACGUCCUCUCCUGCCUCUGUCCAUGUGCUGAUGUCCUGCUCUCCUCUCAGAGGGGACACAGUUUAAUGCAUGACACCUUCAAUUCCCAAGGUUGCUUCACAGCUGGUUUCCCCCAGCGUGAAACUCAGUGGAAGUGAAGCUGACACUGGCA
RNAcentral lists this long non-coding RNA (1183 nucleotides) under Homo sapiens (human). Its description in RNAcentral is "HSALNT0234103". Lineage: Eukaryota; Metazoa; Chordata; Mammalia; Primates; Hominidae. The record is from RNAcentral.